UCCCCAGGUUAAGCCCGGGGAUUUCACAUCCAACUUAACAGACCGCCUGCGUGCGCUUUACGCCCAGUCAUUCCGAUUAACGCUUGCACCCUCCGUAUUACCGCGGCUGCUGGCACGGAGUUAGCCGGUGCUUCUUCUGCGGGUAACGUCAAUGGACAAGGUUAUUAACCUUGUCGCCUUCCUCCCCGCUGAAAGUGCUUUACAACCCGAAGGCCUUCUUCACACACGCGGCAUGGCUGCAUCAGGGUUUCCCCCAUUGUGCAAUAUUCCCCACUGCUGCCUCCCGUAGGAGUCUGGACCGUGUCUCAGUUCCAGUGUGGCUGGUCAUCCUCUCAGACCAGCUAGGGAUCGUCGCCUAGGUGAGCCGUUACCUCACCUACUAGCUAAUCCCAUCUGGGUUCAUCCGAUGGCGUGAGGCCCGAAGGUCCCCCACUUUGGUCUUGCGACGUUAUGCGGUAUUAGC
RNAcentral lists this ribosomal RNA (463 nucleotides) under Dickeya dadantii. RNAcentral describes it as "partial 16S rRNA". The record is from RNAcentral. Lineage: Bacteria; Pseudomonadati; Pseudomonadota; Gammaproteobacteria; Enterobacterales; Pectobacteriaceae.